RNAcentral lists this ribosomal RNA (253 nucleotides) under uncultured bacterium. RNAcentral's name for it is "partial 16S ribosomal RNA". It matches the Rfam family "Bacterial small subunit ribosomal RNA", at positions 524 to 776 of the family's 1533-position model. The record is from RNAcentral.
UACGUAGGGUGCAAGCGUUGUCCGGAAUUAUUGGGCGUAAAGAGCUUGUAGGCGGUUUGUCGCGUCUGCUGUGAAAUCCCGAGGCUCAACCUCGGGUCUGCAGUCGAUACGAGCAAACUAGAGUGUUGCAGGGGAGACUGGAAUUCCUGGUGUAGCGGUAAAAUGCGCAGAUAUCAGGAGGAACACCGGUGGCGAAGGCGGGUCUCUGGGCAACAACUGACGCUGAGGAGCGAAAGCGUGGGGGGCGAACAGG